This is a long non-coding RNA of Eurytemora carolleeae, 603 nucleotides long. RefSeq lists it as uncharacterized. The record is from RefSeq and is a predicted model, not a curated record. NCBI's taxonomy places the organism in Eukaryota, Metazoa, Arthropoda, Copepoda, Calanoida, Temoridae. The transcript has 3 exons.
AAUGUAUUUUUCAAGACAAUAUACGUUGAUUUCUUAAAACAGUGGACAAUAACUAAAUAAACAAAUUUUAUUUAGAGAGGACUACCAGCCUGUUCCCCCGGUCGUAAGUUGCAUUGUAUGCAACUUAAAUUACAGUGCUGAAAUAUACUUAAAAAGACACAUGAAAGAUAAACACUCUGCCAGACCUGCAUCGCCCUCUUCUUCACACGAUACCAUUAGGAAGCGCAAGCUGAUUGUUGAUGAAGUGAAAGCUAUAACUGGAGAAUAGAUGAAAGCACAAUUGAGUGAUAUUUCAGAAAUUGUCACAACCGUAGGUAUGAAUUCUAAUUUUAUAUGCCUGAUUGCAUUAAUUCUUUUGGUGUGUCAACGUAGGCGCUCUUCUUAGAAAAACAAUAUUACCUUUUAAAUUUUGCUUUUAAAAUCUCCUUAGUUCCAUCGUAGUUACAAGAAAUAAAGAUAUUAAUGUGUAUAUCGGGGCACACCUAUUAAGAGAUAAAAAAUGUUAUAUAUAUAUUUGUUGGUUAUUUUACAAGAUCUGGGGCAGAAUUCUAAAAAAUAAUGUUUUAGAUCUUGGCCUGCCUACUAACAGAUUAAUAUUCUAUA